Long non-coding RNA from Conger conger (European conger), 907 nucleotides. RefSeq lists it as uncharacterized. The transcript has 3 exons. Lineage: Eukaryota; Metazoa; Chordata; Actinopteri; Anguilliformes; Congridae. The record is from RefSeq and is a predicted model, not a curated record.
UUGUAUCAUACGUUUUUUUGUCUAAUUUCUUUAGCAUUUCUUUGAAAUUAGAAUUAGCUGAUUUUGAAGAGGACAACUGAAGACGUUCAUAUGUCUCCUGGAUUGCUUUGCUGCCAUCAAGAAGCACUCUCGCACCAUCCUCACUGAGAACUGGUUCCUCUGUGCGUCUCGGAUCUGGGAUGGAGUGAAGAAGACCUCGGCUCUGAGUACAGACAGCCACUUUCCUAGUGUCCACACAAGCCUCUGCACCUAACGGUGGAUCACCAUGGAAACGGGACACCAUGAGGAAACACCAGAGACGUAUUCGACUCACGGAAAGGAAGAGGGAACCAGAUUUAGGCUUGUUUUCCACAAACUUUACUCACUCUUAUCUUUUCAGAAAGUUAGAAUAAAGAAAAAAGGUCAAACUCAAGUUGGGUACAGAUAGACAGAAUUCAUAGAUGAAUAUAAACCCAUAGGUAGAUUAUAUUGGUUACAGAUUGAGUUACUUGGGAGAUUCAUUCGUUUUAUUUAAAAGAAAUAUUCCUGAAAAAAUACCAGCCCCAAUGAAUGUCCCAUAAUACCAAAAGACAUACAUUUCAUGAGAUGUAGAUCAUUUUCAUUUUGUAAAAUAAACAAUCCUGCCAAGUAUUUGUCCAUGGUGUCUCAUUACAAAGAUUGCUUGGCUGUUUUUUUUUCUCAAUACAAACAGUACUACAUAUUGCUCAAAAAUACACAACCUAAUUUCGAUGAGAUCAUCUUCAUCAAGAUCAAAGGCACUAGUACAGAAAGGCACUUGAACUGCAGAGAAGUAGUUUCUUCACACCGGUGACUGCAAAGCUCUCAUCAGGACCUUUUGUGCAUCCUCUGCCAGCUCAUUCAAGCAGCUUGUCAGCAUCCUGUGGGUGGUGGCGAACGAGAUUCCCGU